RNAcentral lists this unclassified non-coding RNA (345 nucleotides) under soil metagenome. RNAcentral describes it as "partial contains 5.8S ribosomal RNA, internal transcribed spacer 2, and large subunit ribosomal RNA". The stretch from base 1 to 120 matches the Rfam family "5.8S ribosomal RNA", at positions 35 to 154 of the family's 154-position model. The record is from RNAcentral.
GAUGAAGAACGUAGCGAAAUGCGAUACGUAAUGUGAAUUGCAGAGUUCAGUGAAUCAUCGAGUCUUUGAACGCACAUUGCGCCCCCUGGUAUUCCGGGGGGCAUGCCUGUCCGAGCGUCAUUGCUGCCCUCAAGCACGGCUUGUGUGUUGGGCCUCCGUCCUCCUCCCGGGGGACGGGCCCGAAAGGCAGCGGCGGCACCGCGUCCGGUCCUCGAGCGUAUGGGGCUUCGUCACCCGCUCUUGUAGGCCCGGCCGGCGCUUGCCGACACAUCAAUCUUUUUUCCAGGUUGACCUCGGAUCAGGUAGGGAUACCCGCUGAACUUAAGCAUAUCAAUAAGCGGAGGA